GCGGCCCCCGGGCUCCCUGGCUCCGGGGGCGCGGCAGCUCCUCGGAGCGUGUCGGCAGAAAAGCUUUUUAAAAAAAAAAAAAAUACCCGAAACCCGAAAGCUCGCCGAGCCUCGAGGAGGCGCAAAUAGCGCGGGUGCAUGGCUUGCGUCUCAGUUCUGUUAUUUUUUUGUCUCUUCGUGACGCAGUGGUAUCCAUCCCCCCCACACACACGUGCUUUUGGGAGAUGAUCCCCCCCCCAGUGCGAGAGGUAUUUAGAGCCUUAGGUCUAUUUUUCCCGUCAGCGAGUGGCGAUCUCUUACAGGUUUUCCAGUUCCAAAUCGCCUCGAGCAGAUAGGGUAUUAAUUCGGGGGCUUGCCAUGGGAAUUAGUCUGGGAAAGGGCCUGAACACAUUUGGAAGAGCCGCUAAAAAAAAAAAAAAAAAAAAAAAAAAAAAAAAAAAAAAAAAAAAAAAAAGGAUGCGCUUGCUUUGCUAGCGGCCGGAGGUUUGUCUCUUCGGCGCCGAGGCAGAGCUCCGUGGAUCCGAUGGGAUCUGGAUCGGAUGCUGCUGGAUCUGCACUGGCACAGAUCCUUAGCGAGCCUUCCCAAGGCUGCUCGGUGGCCCCUGCGCCGCCGUCAAGGCUUGAAACAUUUCGGAGCCGUGCGUCUCAAGCUUUUUCUAUUUUGGACUACGAGUCCGUGUGUUAUUUGAGACGAGUUGACAGUGAGAGCCUUCUUUGCAUUGCAGGCUUUCUUGGCUAGAAGACUAGCUUUAGCUGAAUGCAGAAUUAACUUCCUAGACUUUUUUUGUUUAAACUACUAAACUAACGGUAUAUACAGCGUUGUAUCUUGCAGUGCUGUUUCCUCACAGUUUGAAAAUUGGUGUACGGCUGUGCUCAGAAGUCUGUUUUAAGUGGAGUCUUUCUGCUGGGUUUAGGGAAAUAGGUAUAUGGAUCACUUUCCAAGAAAGUGAGGAAUAUUUUGUUUCCAGAACUUUUUUUUUUUUGUUCCACCUUUCACUCCUUAUGUGGAGUUCUAUGAGGAAAUGUGUGUUCUUUCCAGAUUUACCCGUUUCACACCAUUAUUAAGCUGCUCAGUGUAAUAGUGAUAUGUGAGGGUUUGUGGUUUUUUGGGGGGUGGUUGGUGGUGAUUGUUUGAGUAUUUUUUUUGACACGGACUAUGUAAUUAUUCCAAUAGAAAUAACUGGCUGGUGUAUUACAAAAAAAUGUGUUUGUGACAUCUGAGAUUAGAUGUCAAGUUUUAAUUUCUAACCAUAACUGCAAAUUACUCCUACCUUCCAGGUCCUCUUUAGAUGGAGCUAAAUGAUGAUCUGUGGUCUGAUUCAAAGUUAGUAUGAAAUGGAAAUUGGCAAUUACUGUCAUGUGUUUGGACUUGGGUAAACUAUAAAUAAAACACAUAUAUGUGUGCUCGUAGUACAUGCGAAACCACAUGGGCUUUCUGUCCUGCUCCCCCAAAUUUCUGACUUCUGGCCCAUGAUGGGAUGACCAGGUGUUGGAUACUCGGCUUACAUCUUUGUAAGCGGAACAUUUCUCGAAUUUCUAAGGUUGGCAAAUACCUUUUCAGUGUGUUACUGUUGCAGCACUCUGGAAAGCUCUUUGACACCAUUAAGAUCCAUCAGUGAAGAUUAUAACAUAUUCUCGAACUAUAAUUUCUAAAACUGUAAUUUCUUUAUUAAGAAGAAAUUAAUGGCAAGGAAUUUUCUUUGUAGUCUAUGGCAUAGAGGAGUGGUAGACAGCCUAAUUACAGGAUUAUUAUCAAAACAGUUUUACAGUGAACAUCAGUUAAGUCAAAUUAUUAAUUUCUAAAAUGUCGGUAAUUUGUUUUGCAGUGUGGAUGGAUGUACAUAUGAAGAUAAUUCUUUUUUUAAAGUCACAUCCUGUCUGCUUGGGCCUUUCCUCCCAUAAAAUAAAUACUGGGGAUGGAAUAUGGAAUUUUGGUUGCAUUUGAUAUUAAGUAUUAAUUUUUUAAAAAGGUCAUGGUAUAAACUUCAGAAUUUUAAGUUGAAGUUCAAUGGAGUAACUCAAGUGUUCUGUCGCAGGAUGUUUAAUGUCCAAAGCAAUUAAAGUGUUAGCAGCUACUUAGGCUUAUAUGAAGAAGGGAAGCCAUUAUUUUUGCUUCCAAUUUAGCAAAGCACUUUCCAAGAUAAAGCUGUUAAAACAAAAGCUUUUAAUAAGGGUGUGUUGUGUGUGCUAAUAGCACUGGAUACCUACAUUCCUGACAAUCUCAGGAGUGUGAAAUACAUCCUCUCUCUGAUUAUGUACUUGGUUUGUGAACCCAGAGCCCUGAUAACUUGUAUGUUCUUAAGAUGUUCUUAAAGCUGUUGUGCUUUUUUUUUACUGUUUCCAGGGGUCUUAUUGUCUCCAUUCUCAAAGUGACUUCUGCUGACUAGCAGAUCUCUACUGUUGAAUAGUGCUAUGCUUUUGGGAAGGUAUCUUACUGACUUUUGGUAACUUGAUUAAUUAACCUUGCUAUUGCGGAUUUUGUACCAAUUUAUCAGGUAUGGCAUGUCUGUGCAAGGCAGCUGGUACAAACAUCCUAGUACUCUUGCAUAUUUGCACUGUGUAAAUACCUAUUGUUGUGCCUCUGCUCUUGACCCAGUGCAUCAAGAGUGGGAGAUAUUUUGUGUAAAGAAAGAUCCAAAACUAUUUACCAGCAGUAUGGUUCACUGCUUUGAAUGCAGCUAUUUUAUCCGGCAGUUAGAGUUUGUGCUAUUCUGUUUGCUUUUAAUAGGUGGGUAAAUGUGAGGCAGUGUUGGAGCACUGUUGAUGCCAGUGCCAAUUAUAGAACAGAUUUUUUUUUUCCUUUAGCUUUGUUUAGAAGCUUCAUCUGUCUUAACACUUCUACUGAUUCUGUUCUCACAGAAAAGCAGUGUUGCAAGAAGAGUGGCUGUUUGAGGAAGACACACUUGUGUGCUGGAGGGGUCCCAUUUCACAAGAGUUCAUCCUGCAGUCCUGAUGGGAUAGGUGUUAGUGUGGUCAUUCCAGCAGUGGCUUUUCUCUUAGGAAAGGGAUUGUUCUUAAAACUGGCUGUGGAAACACAGCUGAGUGAUGCUGCAGUACUCUGAGGUGGAUGAAUUGCAUAACACUGGUCUUGGUUCCUAUUAAACUCCAGUCCCUCGCAGCUGUGGUGAAUGGAUGUGGUGUGAACCAAGCCCUCUGCUGGCAGCUCUGGUCUGCUGUUUGUUAAAUACUCACCCGGAGCACUGACAGGAAAGCCAACACUCCCUCAGCUGCAAAAUCUUGCACUGCAUUGUGGUGAUUUAGUUCCCUGAUCCACGACUUAAGGGAUCUCCACAGUCUUUUCACUGCACACAGGUAUCAAGAAAAACGUUUUGAAUGUGCACUCCUUAUAUACAUAUAUUCAUUUACUUGAAAACUUUAUAUACGUGUGCUACUGUACAAAUAAUGUGUAUAAUACAAAGUAAAAAUUCAAGAGCAAUACAAAGAUGAAAUUAAUAUUUCCUUUUUUUUCCUCUAUUAACUUUACAAAAAAAAAAAAAAAUCGUCACACUUCCAGUAGGCUGUUCCAGAACUGGUUAAAAGAGGAGGGUGCUGCAUAUGUAAUCUUCAGAUUAACUUUUUUCCCUUUUGGUACUGCACUUGGUUAGACCUCAAAUGAUUUUCAUUCUUGAGUGAUGUUCUUGAAGGGGAGGAGCUUGGCAAGAUCAGUGCCUUGGAGUAAUUUAAACCAGUGUGCUACAUCUUCUGUUCAAUUCUUCAGUUUUUUUCCUAAAACUCAUAUUAGGAAAUACAAUAUUCAUUCAUGAGCAACCACAAACCCAUUUUCCCCACUUCUUGGUACAGGUAAAGCAGUCACACUGGUCAUUGGUCACUGCUAAGAAUUUUUUUAAAAUAAGUGACUUCAAAUUAUUUGUCUUUCAGAGUUUUAGAAGCUAUCUGUUUUUUGCAUGAACGGUCUUUGAUUUAUUUCCGCACUUCACCAUACUGAUUAUACCUGACAAAGUUACUGAAAUUUCAUUUAUGCAUAAAAAGUAACUUUGGUUGUAUUAUCUGUGCCUUGCACUAAUUUAAGCAUAAGGUGAUAAAAAGAGUAAAGAAAUUUAGAAAAAUUAAAGUUCCAGUUUAAUAAGAAGGCUUAUCUCUUGUAUCCUCAUUUUUACUUCUACUUCAGAUGAUUCAGUUGUUUGGGUUUUGUAAAUUCAAAGAAAAUAGCUCUGUCUGUUUCAGCUGAGAAGGAGUUGUGAUGCUAGAUUAGUGUUUUAACUUCAUCUGUUAGUCUAGGUGGCAGAGACUCCUAAGAUUAUUCUGAGUAAUACUGCUGUAGAACUGCAAGCAGUUCGGCAGCUUUGGCUGAAGUGUGGUGCUGUGCCAGUGCAGGUGAGUGCUUUCCUGUGUGAACAUACCAGCCCUGCUCAGUGCUGGCUCGGGCUGUGCUGUAGCUGCAUUCACCACUUCAGAAUAUGACAUUAAAAAUUCAGGUGGUACUUAAAUGAUUUUUUAGGAUUACUUCAAUGGGCUUUUUAGUCUGUUGAGAACCAACAGGUAAAAUGUAACUUUUCAGGAACCUUACUAUAUUAGAGCUAGACUUUUUAUAGAAAUGGGAUGUUUUAUUUGGGUUUUGCUGUUGCUGUACAGGGUCAUUUGUUCCUGUCUCCUACUUCUUGAGUAGAAACUGUACCAUGCUUUGCAGAACUAGAUGAAAACCAAAAACUGUUAGGAGCAAGAAUGCCUCAAAUAAAUGCCUUUGUUUUGGGGUGGAGAAUAGAUGACUUGUGUACUGGUUUUGGCUGGCAUAGAGUUAAUUUCUUUCCAGUAGCUGAUGGAGGGUUCUGUUUUGAAUCUGUGCUGGACACAGAUAAUUUAAAUGUUUUUCGUUUUGCUGAGCUGGACUUCCACAGAGCCAAGGCCUUUCCUGCUCCUGCGGGCAUGCUGGUGAGGAGGCCGAGGGUGCAUGGGAGGCUGGGAGGGGACACAACCAGGACCCAAAGUGACCCAAGGGAUAUUCCAGGCCAUGUGACAUCAUUCUCAGAACAAAAAGUAGGGGAAGAAGGAGGAAAGGGACAUUGGGAGUGAUGGUACUUGUCUUCUCAAGUCACCAUGAGGUGAGGGGGCCCUGCUCUCCUGGAGGUUACCACCCCUGCCCAACUGUGGGAAGCAGGGCAUUAAUUCCUCGUUUGCUCUACUUGUAUGCGUAGCUUUUGCUUUCCCUGUUGAACUGUCUUUACCUCAACCCAUAAAUUGUUACCCUUUAAUUCUCUCCCUAGUCCCACUGAUGGAGGAAGAAGUGAGUGGCUGCUUGGGGCUGGGCUGCUGGGGUUGAACUGUGAUGACUUGGAAAUUUGAUGUGUCCAAAACAAUUUCUUGACAAGACUGAAAUGGAUUCUCUUUUGUACUUAAUAGGAGACCAUUGUAUUUCUUGGACUACGCUUGAGUAUGCCAAAUUUCUCUGCAGGAGGCUUGCUAAUUGGAUUUACUUAGCUCUUACACAAUCGAGUGCCACAUCAGCUUCAUUGUGGAGUGUAUCAGGCUUAUGUAUUUCAGAUACUCAUGUGAAAACUACCCAUGUUCAGAGCCUGGAUCUACUUUCCUGUGUAGUGUUUCUUUCAGGACAAUGGAUAUGCUAAGGAAUAUUGCAUUCAAUGCACAGCAAGGAAUAAUUACUUCUGUAGAUCAUUCAGAGUGGAGCCGUGGUUCUGGAAAGAGUUGUGUGCAUCACUGCAGAAAUGAAGGUGCAUUCUUGAGGUGUGAAGUAGACUACAUGCAUUUCUUUCCCUAAACUGAAGGGAAUGGUUGCUCCUACACUUCUUGCAGGAAUGCAGGAAGUCAUGCCUCUUGCAACUUUCUGUUAACCAGAACUGGAGAGACUGGAAAAGGAAGUUUGGGCUUUUUUUGAGGAUGUUUGGUUUUGGGGGGGUUGUUAUCAUAACGGUUUUGUUAUUACACUGGCAGACCAUGUUGACUACUCCUUGACAGGAAGGCUUUAUUUUAGCUACAAAGUUUCUGGGAGUGCAGAUCAUAAGCAUUGUGGGUCUUCCACACUACAGAGCUACUGAACAGAGUCCUUUUCUCAUUUGUUUCUAAUUUUCAUGGUCAGCUUGCCCAUUUUCAUACCAGCCUGUGCUUAUGGAGGGAUGUAUGAAUCAAGAUGUAAAGAUGUGGGGUAGUUUUCUUUAAUUUGCAAAGUGCUCUCAUUCUUUAGUUAAUGUUUUUGCUAGGGGGGAAAAGCAGAUAUUAUUUAUAUUUCUGAUAGGAUACGGGUCUUUCAUACCUGUAGAUGUCAGCAAAAUUUUGCUGCCUUAUCAUUAUGUUAAAAGUGAUUCAGAGGGAUGUGGCCUUCAUGUAGUAAACUUAGAGAUUUGUCAAGAAAACUGUAUACAUGUAAGACAUAUAAGUAGUGCUAAUUUUCGUAAACAAAUCUCCUAUUUAUCCUUUGUCAGUAUACCACCUUGAAAGAAAAGUUUUACUCCUAAGCUGAAGUCAAUUGCCUGAGUAAGUUUCCUGAUUAAGUCUUACUAACCUCGUUAAUACAUCAUACUACAUGUAAAAGUUGGGAGGAUGAGUGGAUGAUUAUCCCUUUAAAAGAAUUAAAAUAAAAAUGGCUUUUAAAAUCAUUAUAUAUCAUUA
Molecule: long non-coding RNA, 6582 nt
Organism: Prinia subflava (tawny-flanked prinia)
Lineage: Eukaryota; Metazoa; Chordata; Aves; Passeriformes; Cisticolidae
Exons: 3
Source: RefSeq, a predicted model, not a curated record